Molecule: ribosomal RNA, 406 nt
Filed under: uncultured bacterium
Lineage: Bacteria
Description: partial 16S ribosomal RNA
Rfam family: Bacterial small subunit ribosomal RNA
Source: RNAcentral
AUUGAACGCUGGCGGCAGGCCUAACACAUGCAAGUCGAGCGAGCGGCGGACGGGUGAGUAAUGUCUGGGAAUCUGCCUGAUGGAGGGGGAUAACUACUGGAAACGGUAGCUAAUACCGCAUACCAUCAGAUGUGCCCAUAUGGGAUUAGCUAGUAGGUGGGGUAACGGCUCACCUAGGCGACGAUCCCUAGCUGGUCUGAGAGGAUGAUCAGCCACACUGGGACUGAGACACGGCCCAGACUCCUACGGGAGGCAGCAGUGGGGAAUAUUGCACAAUGGGCGCAAGCCUGAUGCAGCAAUGCCGCGUGUAUGAAGAAGGCCUUCGGGUUGUAAAGUACUUUCAGCGGGGAGGCGUUACCGACAGAAGAAGCACCGGCUAACUCCGUGCCAGCAGCCGCGGUAAUAC